CACAAAAAAUAUGCAGGCUGUACGCCGCCGUGCCCUCUCGGGGGCUAGUGGCAAAGGCUGAAAUAUUUUUCACCCAUGUCUUUUGCGCACUUGUUGUUUCCUGGGCGGGCUCGCCCGCCACCAGGACCACACCUUAAACCUUUUUUUAUGCAGUUGCAAUCAGCGUCAGUAUAACAAAUGUAAAAUCAUUUA
RNAcentral lists this unclassified non-coding RNA (192 nucleotides) under soil metagenome. RNAcentral's name for it is "partial internal transcribed spacer 1". The record is from RNAcentral.